AUUUAGAGGAAGUAAAAGUNGUAACAAGGUUUCCGUAGGUGAACCUGCGGAAGGAUCAUUACAGAAUAAAUUUGAUAGGUUGUUGCUGGCUCUAAAAUACUGAGCAAGUGCACGCUUGUCAUUUUUGUCUUUCCACCAUGUGCACUGUGCAUAGGAACAUUAUUUGAUCAAAGGCAACUUUGUUCACUGGGACUUGCUGUCUGACAGCUCUUCCUGCAGUUCCUAUGAUUUUAUAUAUACACCUGUUUAUGUUACAGAACGUCUAGUGGGGUCUGAAAAGCCCUAUAAAACUAUAAUACAACUUUCAGCAACGGAUCUCUUGGCUCUCGCAUCGAUGAAGAACGCAGCGAAAUGCGAUAAGUAAUGUGAAUUGCAGAAUUCAGUGAAUCAUCGAAUCUUUGAACGCACCUUGCGCUCCUUGGUAUUCCGAGGAGCAUGCCUGUUUGAGUGUCAUUAUAUUCUCAAUCUUCACAACUUNUGUUGAUUGGAUGUGGAGGUUUAUGUGGGUGCUUUUACAAGUCCCACUCCUCUGAAAUAUAUUAGCUGGAAUGCCUUUGCAAAGCCAACUAUCAGUGUGAUAAUUAUCUAUGCUGGAGUUGCUGCAUAUAGGGAAUCGCUUCUCAACNGUCCUUUGGACAAUAUGAACCAUUUUGACCUCAAAUCAGGUAGGACUACCCGCUGAACUUAAGCAUAUCAAUAAGCGGAGGAAAAGAAACUAACAAGGAUUCCCCUAGUAACUGCGAGUGAAGCGGGAAAAGCUCAAAUUUAAAAUCUGGCGGUCUCAGGCCGUCCGAGUUGUAAUCUAGAGAAGUGUUAUCC
Molecule: ribosomal RNA, 819 nt
Filed under: Conocybe hausknechtii
Lineage: Eukaryota; Fungi; Basidiomycota; Agaricomycetes; Agaricales; Bolbitiaceae
Description: eukaryotic LSU rRNA
Rfam family: 5.8S ribosomal RNA (bases 300-453)
Source: RNAcentral